Molecule: transfer RNA, 71 nt
Organism: Babjeviella inositovora NRRL Y-12698
Lineage: Eukaryota; Fungi; Ascomycota; Pichiomycetes; Serinales
Rfam family: tRNA
About the family: Transfer RNA (tRNA) molecules are approximately 80 nucleotides in length. Their secondary structure includes four short double-helical elements and three loops (D, anti-codon, and T loops).
Source: Rfam
GCAGGAGUGGUUUAGGGGUAAAAUCUAACAUUCCCAUUGUUAGGCCACGGGUUCGAGUCCCGUCUCUUGCA